This 75-nucleotide transfer RNA is filed under the name Salinisphaera orenii subsp. orenii MK-B5. RNAcentral's name for it is "tRNA-Lys". It matches the Rfam family "tRNA". From Rfam's summary of the family: Transfer RNA (tRNA) molecules are approximately 80 nucleotides in length. Their secondary structure includes four short double-helical elements and three loops (D, anti-codon, and T loops). The record is from RNAcentral. RNAcentral also lists the same sequence under 4 other names. Lineage: Bacteria; Pseudomonadati; Pseudomonadota; Gammaproteobacteria; Salinisphaerales; Salinisphaeraceae.
GGGCCGCUAGCUCAAUGGUAGAGCAGUUGACUCUUAAUCAAUUGGUUCGAGGUUCGAGUCCUCGGCGGCCCACCA